This 235-nucleotide ribosomal RNA is filed under the name uncultured bacterium. RNAcentral's name for it is "partial 16S ribosomal RNA". It matches the Rfam family "Bacterial small subunit ribosomal RNA", at positions 120 to 354 of the family's 1533-position model. The record is from RNAcentral.
AGUAACCUGCCCUGGAGUGGGGAAUAACAGCUGGAAACAGCUGCUAAUACCGCAUAAUGCAGUUGGGUCGCAUGGCUCUGACUGCCAAAGAUUUAUCGCUCUGGGAUGGACUCGCGUCUGAUUAGCUAGUUGGUGGGGCAACGGCCCACCAAGGCGACGAUCAGUAGCCGGACUGAGAGGUUGGCCGGCCACAUUGGGACUGAGACACGGCCCAGACUCCUACGGGAGGCAGCAG